This is a long non-coding RNA of Hydra vulgaris (swiftwater hydra), 560 nucleotides long. RefSeq lists it as uncharacterized. The record is from RefSeq and is a predicted model, not a curated record. NCBI's taxonomy places the organism in Eukaryota, Metazoa, Cnidaria, Hydrozoa, Anthoathecata, Hydridae.
GAUUUUCAUUGUAUAUACUGUGGUUAAGUGUCAAUAGAUUCAAAAAAUAAUAGACUUUUAAUGUUGAUUGAUUUUUGAUUCCUUGACACAUAAAUUUGAAGUUGGUGCAAAUAUUUUGAAAAAUAUAGAAAUAAAUUAUGUAUAUGAUUCCGUCAACCUUUUUUGACAACAAAGCUCAAUAGUCUACAAAGAAAAAUAGCUUUAUGUUAUUGGAUUAUUUAAUAUAGCUGCAGCUACAGCAUCAUUUACUAGCUCAAUUUGAUCGUUAAGAUUAGCGAUACAGAUUUCAAGAUCUGAUAUAUGUUGUUGUUUUAAAAUAAAGUCUUGAUAUGAGUCAUAUAAAAACUGUCUUUAUUUUUUAUUGAUGCAGCCAUCAUAAUAUCAACUUCAUGGGCUGCUUCUUCAAACAUGUUAAAAAUUUUCAAAUAUACACCAAGAGCAAUAUGCAGACUUGGUAAAGAAACCUAUGUACAUACACAGCAAUGUGACAUGUCGCACAGUUUAUGCUAUGCGGUUGCCACUCAUUGAAUAAAAGCAGUGCUGUUGUUGUUUUUCUUUUU